Molecule: ribosomal RNA, 498 nt
Filed under: uncultured bacterium
Lineage: Bacteria
Description: partial 16S ribosomal RNA
Rfam family: Bacterial small subunit ribosomal RNA
Source: RNAcentral
AUUGAACGCUGGCGGCAUGCCUUACACAUGCAAGUCGAACGGUAACAGGUCUUCGGACGCUGACGAGUGGCGAACGGGUGAGUAAUACAUCGGAACGUGCCCAGUCGUGGGGGAUAACUACUCGAAAGAGUAGCUAAUACCGCAUACGAUCUGAGGAUGAAAGCGGGGGACCUUCGGGCCUCGCGCGAUUGGAGCGGCCGAUGGCAGAUUAGGUAGUUGGUGGGAUAAAAGCUUACCAAGCCGACGAUCUGUAGCGGGUCUGAGAGGACGACCAGCCACACUGGGAAUGAGACAGGGCCCAGACUCCUACGGGAGGCAGCAGUGGGGAAUUUUGGACAAUGGGCGAAAGCCUGAUCCAGCAAUGCCGCGUGCAGGAUGAAGGCCUUCGGGUUGUAAACUGCUUUUGUACGGAACGAAAAAGCUCCUUCUAAUACAGGGGGCCCAUGACGGUACCGUAAGAAUAAGCACCGGCUAACUACGUGCCAGCCGCCGCAGUAA